AACGUACGCUGGCGGCACGCCUUUCACAUGCAAGUCGAACGAAGUAGCAAUACUUAGUGGCAGACGGGUGAGUAACAUGUAGGUAUCUGCCCUUUGUCCUGGAAUAACACGAGGAAACUUGUGCUAAUACCGGAUAAGUCUUUACGGAGAAAGCUUUAUGCACCAUUGGAUGAGCCUGCACUUGAUUAGUUUGUUGGUGGGGUAAUGGCCUACCAAGACUGUGAUCAAUAGCUGAUUUGAGAGGAUGAUCAGCCACAUUGGGACUGAGACACGGCCCAAACUCCUACGGGAGGCAGCAGUGGGGAAUCUUGCACAAUGGAGGAAACUCUGAUGCAGCGAUGCCGCGUGAGUGAAGAAGGCCCUUGGGUUGUAAAGCUCUUUCGUCGGGGAAGAAAAUGACUGUACCCGAAUAAGAAGGUCCGGCUAACUUCGUG
Molecule: ribosomal RNA, 434 nt
Filed under: uncultured bacterium
Lineage: Bacteria
Description: bacterial SSU rRNA
Rfam family: Bacterial small subunit ribosomal RNA
Source: RNAcentral